This 301-nucleotide ribosomal RNA is filed under the name uncultured bacterium. RNAcentral describes it as "partial 16S ribosomal RNA". It matches the Rfam family "Bacterial small subunit ribosomal RNA", at positions 509 to 809 of the family's 1533-position model. The record is from RNAcentral.
CAGCAGCCGCGGUAAUACGGAGGGUGCAAGCGUUAAUCGGAAUUACUGGGCGUAAAGCGCACGCAGGCGGUUUGUUAAGUCAGAUGUGAAAUCCCCGAGCUUAACUUGGGAACUGCAUUUGAAACUGGCAAGCUAGAGUCUUGUAGAGGGGGGUAGAAUUCCAGGUGUAGCGGUAAAAUGCGUAGAGAUCUGGAGGAAUACCGGUGGCGAAGGCGGCCCCCUGGACAAAGACUGACGCUCAGGUGCGAAAGCGUGGGGAGCAAACAGGAUUAGAUACCCGCGUAGUCCCUGUCUCUUAUAA